RNAcentral lists this ribosomal RNA (465 nucleotides) under uncultured Klebsiella sp. Its description in RNAcentral is "bacterial SSU rRNA". It matches the Rfam family "Bacterial small subunit ribosomal RNA", at positions 338 to 795 of the family's 1533-position model. The record is from RNAcentral. Lineage: Bacteria; Pseudomonadati; Pseudomonadota; Gammaproteobacteria; Enterobacterales; Enterobacteriaceae.
CCUACGGGCGGCAGCAGUGGGGAAUAUUGCACAAUGGGCGCAAGCCUGAUGCAGCCAUGCCGCGUGUGUGAAGAAGGCCUUCGGGUUGUAAAGCACUUUAAGCGGGGAGGAAGGCGGUGAGGUUAAUAACCUCAUCGAUUGACGUUACCCGCAGAAGAAGCACCGGCUAACUCCGUGCCAGCAGCCGCGGUAAUACGGAGGGUGCAAGCGUUAAUCGGAAUUACUGGGCGUAAAGCGCACGCAGGCGGUCUGUCAAGUCGGAUGUGAAAUCCCCGGGCUCAACCUGGGAACUACAUUCGAAACUGGCAGGCUAGAGUCUUGUAGAGGGGGGUAGAAUUCCAGGUGUAGCGGUGAAAUGCGUAGAGAUCUGGAGGAAUACCGGUGGCGAAGGCGGCCCCCUGGACAAAGACUGACGCUCAGGUGCGAAAGCGUGGGUAGCAAACAGGAUUAGAUACCCCGGUAGUC